Non-coding RNA from Gorilla gorilla gorilla (western lowland gorilla), 47 nucleotides. The record is from Rfam. Lineage: Eukaryota; Metazoa; Chordata; Mammalia; Primates; Hominidae.
CCAGAGGUCCUCCUCAGGACCAAUUCAUUUUAAAAUGCACAGUCUUU